RNAcentral lists this unclassified non-coding RNA (485 nucleotides) under Hevea brasiliensis (rubber tree). The record is from RNAcentral. Lineage: Eukaryota; Viridiplantae; Streptophyta; Magnoliopsida; Malpighiales; Euphorbiaceae.
UUUCCCAAUGUUGAUCAUGCUUCUGGUCCCUGUUCGACAGUAUCUGCUCCCUAAAUUUUUCAAAGGUGCACAUCUACAAGAUUUGGAUGCAGCAGAAUAUGAGGAAGCUCCUGCUGUAUCUUACAAUAUGGCAUUUGACGAUCAGGAUCUUCAAGCAAGAUCAUCUAACAUUGAUGGAGGAGAAAUUCUUGAUGAAAUUAUCACAAGAAGCCGAGGUGAGAUCCGCCGUACACAAAGCCCUAAAGUGACAAGUUCCAGUCCAGGUUCAUUACACGACAUAAAACCUGCAUAUAGUCCGCGUAUGUCACUGAGGGCAUACAGUCCGCGUGUUAGUGAACUGAGGGCAGAAUGGAGUCCCCAGUCUAAUGGAAAGGGAGUUGAAAUAAAGCGAACUCCUAGUCCAGGCCCGUCUAGUCUUGGUCAAAGCACUCGCGGUUCAUCUUCAAGCUAAUUCUGGUGAGUUUAGUUGUCAGUUUGCUCGAGAG